AGUUUGAUCCUGGCUCAGGAUGAACGCUAGCUACAGGCUUAACACAUGCAAGUCGAGGGGCAGCAUUGGAGUAGCAAUACUUCAGAUGGCGACCGGCGCACGGGUGAGUAACACGUAUCCAACCUGCCGCUUACUCGGGGAUAGCCUUUCGAAAGAAAGAUUAAUACCCGAUGGUAUAAAGAGUUCGCAUGUUCUCUUUAUUAAAGAAUUUCGGUAAGCGAUGGGGAUGCGUUCCAUUAGAUUGUUGGCGGGGUAACGGCCCACCAAGUCUACGAUGGAUAGGGGUUCUGAGAGGAAGGUCCCCCACAUUGGAACUGAGACACGGUCCAAACUCCUACGGGAGGCAGCAGUGAGGAAUAUUGGUCAAUGGGCGAGAGCCUGAACCAGCCAAGUAGCGUGAAGGAUGACUGCCCUAUGGGUUGUAAACUUCUUUUAUAAGGGAAUAAAGUGAGGGACGUGUCCCUUUUUGUAUGUACCUUAUGAAUAAGGAUCGGCUAACUCCGUGCCAGCAGCCGCGGUAAUACGGAGGAUCCAAGCGUUAUCCGGAUUUAUUGGGUUUAAAGGGAGCGUAGGUUGACAUAUAAGUCAGCUGUGAAAGUUUACGGCUCAACCGUGAAAUUGCAGUUGAUACUGUAUGUCUUGAGUGUACAAGAGGUGGGCGGAAUUCGUGGUGUAGCGGUGAAAUGCUUAGAUAUCACGAAGAACUCCAAUUGCGAAGGCAGCUCACUGGGGUACAACUGACACUGAGGCUCGAAAGUGUGGGUAUCAAACAGGAUUAGAUACCCUGGUAGUCCACACAGUAAACGAUGAAUACUCGCUGUUUGCGUUAUACAGUAAGCGGCCAAGCGAAAGCAUUAAGUAUUCCACCUGGGGAGUACGCCGGCAACGGUGAAACUCAAAGGAAUUGACGGGGGCCCGCACAAGCGGAGGAACAUGUGGUUUAAUUCGAUGAUACGCGAGGAACCUUACCCGGGCUUGAAUUGCAGAGGAACAUAGUUGAAAGAUUAUGGCCGCAGGGUCUCUGUGAAGGUGCUGCAUGGUUGUCGUCAGCUCGUGCCGUGAGGUGUCGGCUUAAGUGCCAUAACGAGCGCAACCCUUAUCAUUAGUUACUAACAGGUCAUGCUGAGGACUCUAGUGAGACUGCCGUCGUAAGAUGUGAGGAAGGUGGA
Molecule: ribosomal RNA, 1169 nt
Filed under: uncultured Bacteroides sp.
Lineage: Bacteria; Pseudomonadati; Bacteroidota; Bacteroidia; Bacteroidales; Bacteroidaceae
Description: bacterial SSU rRNA
Rfam family: Bacterial small subunit ribosomal RNA
Source: RNAcentral